This 874-nucleotide ribosomal RNA is filed under the name uncultured beta proteobacterium. Its description in RNAcentral is "bacterial SSU rRNA". It matches the Rfam family "Bacterial small subunit ribosomal RNA", at positions 9 to 873 of the family's 1533-position model. Lineage: Bacteria; Pseudomonadati; Pseudomonadota; Betaproteobacteria. The record is from RNAcentral.
GAGUUUGAUCAUGGCUCAAAUUGAACGCUGGCGGCAUGCCUUACACAUGCAAGUCGAACGGCAGCACGGGGGCAACCCUGGUGGCGAGUGGCGAACGGGUGAGUAAUACAUCGGAACGUGUCCUGUAGUGGGGGAUAGCCCGGCGAAAGCCGGAUUAAUACCGCAUACGAUCUACGGAAGAAAGCGGGGGAUCCUUCGGGACCUCGCGCUAGAGGGGCGGCCGAUGGCAGAUUAGCUAGUUGGUGGGGUAAAGGCCUACCAAGGCGACGAUCUGUAGCUGGUCUGAGAGGACGACCAGCCACACUGGGACUGAGACACGGCCCAGACUCCUACGGGAGGCAGCAGUGGGGAAUUUUGGACAAUGGGGGCAACCCUGAUCCAGCAAUGCCGCGUGUGUGAAGAAGGCCUUCGGGUUGUAAAGCACUUUUGUCCGGAAAGAAAACCUCUUGGUUAAUACCUGAGGGGGAUGACGGUACCGGAAGAAUAAGCACCGGCUAACUACGUGCCAGCAGCCGCGGUAAUACGUAGGGUGCGAGCGUUAAUCGGAAUUACUGGGCGUAAAGCGUGCGCAGGCGGUCUGUUAAGACCGAUGUGAAAUCCCCGGGCUUAACCUGGGAACUGCAUUGGUGACUGGCAGGCUUUGAGUGUGGCAGAGGGAGGUAGAAUUCCACGUGUAGCAGUGAAAUGCGUAGAGAUGUGGAGGAAUACCGAUGGCGAAGGCAGCCUCCUGGGCCAACACUGACGCUCAUGCACGAAAGCGUGGGGAGCAAACAGGAUUAGAUACCCUGUAGUCCACGCCCUAAACGAUGUCAACUAGUUGUUGGGGAUUCAUUUCCUUAGUAACGUAGCUACGCGUGAAGUUGACCAAUCACUA